Molecule: transfer RNA, 71 nt
Filed under: Candidatus Woesebacteria bacterium
Lineage: Bacteria; Candidatus Woeseibacteriota
Also listed under: 1 other name
Description: tRNA-Gly
Rfam family: tRNA
About the family: Transfer RNA (tRNA) molecules are approximately 80 nucleotides in length. Their secondary structure includes four short double-helical elements and three loops (D, anti-codon, and T loops).
Source: RNAcentral
GCGACCGUAGUUCAGCGGUAGAAUGCGAGCUUCCCAAGCUUGAGGAGAGGGUUCGACUCCCUUCGGUCGCU